RNAcentral lists this non-coding RNA (141 nucleotides) under Bacteroides intestinalis. The record is from RNAcentral. Lineage: Bacteria; Pseudomonadati; Bacteroidota; Bacteroidia; Bacteroidales; Bacteroidaceae.
CCUAUUGUUCCGUCAAUAGUAGCCUAACGAUACAUGCAUUACCGGUAACAGUUUUGUGUGAAGCUAUCGUGACAACGUAACCCUCCUUAAGUUUUAACCGUGAGGUGAAGAGCGAAAGCCGUAAGUAUCCGUCGGCUGGGG